GUGGGAGUAGCUCAAUGGUAGAGCAACCCAGCAUGCAUGGGGAGAUGUGGGUUUGAUUCCCCCUUUCUGCA
RNAcentral lists this transfer RNA (71 nucleotides) under Puccinia coronata f. sp. avenae. It matches the Rfam family "tRNA". Rfam says of the family: Transfer RNA (tRNA) molecules are approximately 80 nucleotides in length. Their secondary structure includes four short double-helical elements and three loops (D, anti-codon, and T loops). Lineage: Eukaryota; Fungi; Basidiomycota; Pucciniomycetes; Pucciniales; Pucciniaceae. The record is from Rfam by way of RNAcentral.